AAGCAGUGCCAUGGUAUUUGGGUAGAUGCGGUUGAGUCCUUUUCCUGGAAGUCGGUCAGCUGAAAAACAAUGUAAAUUCCCGGUUUUGAAGACUUAUUGCUCUCAAAUCUGCUGGCUUUUAAACGGAGGGGCCGGAAUAUCACAGAAGCCUUGGGAACAGCAAAGUCAAAAGAAUGGUACUUUUAAAAAUGGUGUCUUUGCUGUAAGGAGCAGAGCAUAUUCAAAACUCAUGGGAGCAUCUCAGGUCUCAGAUUUCUUGAGAAGAUGAAAUAGAUCGUCUGCCUUAAGGUUCUGGACCAGUGUAUGCAACACAAUAAACGUUCAGGGAAUGGUUGCUAUGAUGAUGACGACGAUGAUUAUGACAAUGUUGAUGAUGAAAUGAGUUGGCUUCAGCCCAGAGCAGAAUAUGUUCCCUAAUAAAGUAUGAGGAUGUCAGCAGGUGCCAUUUGUGUCCCACCCAAAGCUGCAAACUUUCUUAAAGUUUAUCUGUAGCUUCAGGGGACAAUUUCCAUAAUGACUGAUGGCAUUUUACCCCGGGUGUGGAUCUUCAGGAGGUUGCCUCUCCCUGGCUGCAGAAUUAUCAUUUUUAGAGAAGCGGUGUGAUAAUCGUGGAACCAUCCCCUACAUUCCUU
RNAcentral lists this non-coding RNA (632 nucleotides) under Pan troglodytes (chimpanzee). Lineage: Eukaryota; Metazoa; Chordata; Mammalia; Primates; Hominidae. The record is from RNAcentral.